This 468-nucleotide ribosomal RNA is filed under the name uncultured bacterium. Its description in RNAcentral is "partial 16S ribosomal RNA". It matches the Rfam family "Bacterial small subunit ribosomal RNA", at positions 28 to 507 of the family's 1533-position model. The record is from RNAcentral.
GACGAACGCUGGCGGUGUGCUUAACACAUGCAAGUCGAACGGUAAGGCCCUUUCGGGGGUACACGAGUGGCGAACGGGUGAGUAACACGUGAGUAACCUGCCCUCAUCUCUGGGAUAACAGUCGGAAACGGUUGCUAAUACUGGAUAUGAGCUUGCAAGGCAUCUUGUGGGUUGGAAAGAUUUUUUUUGGUUGGGGAUGGACUCGCGGCCUAUCAGCUUGUUGGGGAGGUAGUGGCUCACCAAGGCUUCGACGGGUAGCCGGCCUGAGAGGGCGACCGGCCACAUUGGGACUGAGAUACGGCCCAAACUCCUACGGGAGGCAGCAGUGGGGAAUAUUGCACAAUGGACGGAAGUCUGAUGCAGCAACGCCGCGUGCGGGAUGACGGCCUUCGGGUUGUAAACCGCUUUCAAUUGUGACGAAGCUUUUUUGUGACGGUAGCAGUAGAAGAAGCACCGGCUAACUACGUG